GCCCUAGUAGCUUAAAUCUAAAGCAUUGGUCUUGUAAACCAAAGACUGAAACCUAAAACCUUCCUAGGACU
Molecule: transfer RNA, 71 nt
Filed under: Allobates talamancae (Talamanca rocket frog)
Lineage: Eukaryota; Metazoa; Chordata; Amphibia; Anura; Aromobatidae
Description: tRNA-Thr
Rfam family: tRNA
About the family: Transfer RNA (tRNA) molecules are approximately 80 nucleotides in length.
Source: RNAcentral